RNAcentral lists this ribosomal RNA (648 nucleotides) under Triticum aestivum (bread wheat). RNAcentral describes it as "partial small subunit ribosomal RNA". The record is from RNAcentral. Lineage: Eukaryota; Viridiplantae; Streptophyta; Magnoliopsida; Poales; Poaceae.
AUGAUAACACUAUGGUCCAUUUGGUGGGCUCGCCGGAAAGUGAUUCAUGAGCAACAAUUUCAGAGUCCGCUAUCGACGUUCUCCUUUAUCCAGCGUUUUCUGUCAGAGCUUGAAGGGCUACCAGUCAAGAAGUCUAACCAGCCCAGCCAACCCCGUAGGCCUGCCCGUGGCGGCUGGCAAGCUCCUGCUGUGGGAAGUGCCAAAAUUUAUGUUGACGGAGGUAUAGACAGACGAGAACGGAAGGGAGCUGUAAGUGCAAUUUGCCGUAAUGUGACGGGUACCUUCCUCGGCGCAUCCUCAAUUGUUUUUGAAGGUCUUACACAUCCAUCGACACUUGAAGCCAUUGCAUGCAGUGAGGCAAUGUCGCUAGCUCUUGAUCUAAACCUCUCACAAUUACAAAUUGCUACGGAUUGUCUACAAGUGGUUCGCAACAUCAAGGAGGAUAACCCAUGCAGCUAUGCCGUAAUCAUCAAGGAGAUUCUCGCAAAAAAGGCGUUGUUCCAGGAGGUGUCCAUUAGUCAUGAAAAUCGAGCAUGCAAUAUUGAAGCACAUAGUCUAGUGAAAGCUGCUACUUCUCUCGAGAGUGGGCGUCAUGUUUGGCUCACCUCACCCCCACCUAUAGCUUGUAUCCCUACAAACAUUUUUUAA